This 435-nucleotide ribosomal RNA is filed under the name uncultured Lachnospiraceae bacterium. RNAcentral's name for it is "partial 16S ribosomal RNA". It matches the Rfam family "Bacterial small subunit ribosomal RNA", at positions 341 to 792 of the family's 1533-position model. Lineage: Bacteria; Bacillati; Bacillota; Clostridia; Lachnospirales; Lachnospiraceae. The record is from RNAcentral.
ACGGAAGGCAGCAGUGGGGAAUAUUGCACAAUGGGGGAAACCCUGAUGCAGCGACGCCGCGUGAGCGAAGAAGUAUUUCGGUAUGUAAAGCUCUAUCAGCAGGGAAGAAACAAGACGGUACCUGACUAAGAAGCCCCGGCUAACUACGUGCCAGCAGCCGCGGUAAUACGUAGGGGGCAAGCGUUAUCCGGAUUUACUGGGUGUAAAGGGAGCGCAGGCGGAAGGCUAAGUCUGAUGUGAAAACCCGGAGCUCAACUGCGGGAUUGCAUUGGAAACUGGUCGUCUUGAGUGUCGGAGGGGCAAGCGGAAUUCCUAGUGUAGCGGUGAAAUGCGUAGAUAUUAGGAGGAACACCGGUGGCGAAGGCGGCUUGCUGGACGACAACUGACGCUGAGGCUCGAAAGCGUGGGGAGCAAACAGGAUUAGAUACCCUGGUA